Molecule: non-coding RNA, 206 nt
Filed under: Streptomyces sviceus
Lineage: Bacteria; Bacillati; Actinomycetota; Actinomycetes; Kitasatosporales; Streptomycetaceae
Source: RNAcentral
CUACGGUGGGCGGGCCGUGGUGCUCGGGAAACCGGUGACGACCCCUCAAAGGUCCAUGCCGGUGCGGCCCUCGCCACUGUGAUCGGGGAGUUUCCCUCCCACGUCCCUCGCGGGACAGUCACUGGCCGUCACCAUCAGGCCGGGAAGGCGGGCAGGGAAACGCACGACCCGUAAGCCAGGAGACCGGCCACGGCAGCUCACGCGUU